This 501-nucleotide ribosomal RNA is filed under the name uncultured bacterium. RNAcentral's name for it is "partial 16S ribosomal RNA". It matches the Rfam family "Bacterial small subunit ribosomal RNA", at positions 30 to 523 of the family's 1533-position model. The record is from RNAcentral.
AUUGAACGCUGGCGGCAGGCUUAACACAUGCAAGUCGAGCGGGGAAGGGUAGCUUGCUACCUAACCUAGCGGCGGACGGGUGAGUAAUGCUUAGGAAUCUGCCAUUUAGUGGGGGACAACAUUCCGAAAGGAAUGCUAAUACCGCAUACGUCCUACGGGAGAAAGCAGGGGACCUUCGGACCUUGCGCUAAAUGAUGAGCCUAAGUCGGAUUAGCUAGUUGGUGGGGUAAAGGCCUACCAAGGCGACGAUCUGUAGCGGGUCUGAGAGGAUGAUCCGCCACACUGGGACUGGGACACGGCCAAGACUCCUAUGGGAGGCAGCAGUGGGGAAUAUUGGACAAUGGGCGGAAGCCUGAUCCAGCCAUGCCGCGUGUGUGAAGAAGGCCUUAUGGUUGUAAAGCACUUUAAGCGAGGAGGAGGCUACUUAGAUUAAUACUCUAGGAUAGUGGACGUUACUCGCAGAAUAAGCACCGGCUAACUCUGUGCCAGCCGCCGCAGUAA